Engraulis encrasicolus (European anchovy) is the source of this 396-nucleotide long non-coding RNA. RefSeq lists it as uncharacterized. The transcript has 3 exons. The record is from RefSeq and is a predicted model, not a curated record. Lineage: Eukaryota; Metazoa; Chordata; Actinopteri; Clupeiformes; Engraulidae.
GCCAACCACAAGUCAAAAUCAGAUCAACAGACAGGGACAUCGGCCUUCUCUUGGGAAUAUGCCAGAUAUGCCAUAACAAGAAAAAAUGGUGUUUUGCCCCUGCGGUUGUGAAGAGGAUGCUGUGGAGGUGGCUGCAUGAACGUGUCACACAGACAUUGGCUAAACUACUCGGCUUCUACACUUGCCCUCAGAGUUCACAUAUGGUUAAGUGCACAGGUGGCCAGCCAGGUUCAGACUGAUACUGGUAACAAGAGGAAAACAUGCUGAUUGGUAAGUGAGAUCCCUGCUAAAAAAAAAUCCACACAGCACAACAAGUAAGCCUAGUUUGUGGUAUCAAAUGUAAAAUGUAAGUUUCAUCAAAAAGUUGUAGAACACAUCUGAAUAAAUUGCAGGUCA